AGUGAACGCUGGCGGCAGGCCUAACACAUGCAAGUCGAGCGGCAGCGCGUCCGACCACCCUCGGGUGGUCGGAUGGCGGCGAGCGGCGGACGGGUGAGGAAUGCAUCGGAAUCUGCCUCGUUGUGGGGGAUAACGUAGGGAAACUUACGCUAAUACCGCAUACGACCUACGGGUGAAAGUGGGGGACCUUCGGGCCGUCACGCGAUGAGAUGAGCCGAUGCCGGAUUAGCUAGUUGGCGGGGGUAAAGGGACCCGACCAACGGCGACGAUCCGUAGCUGGUCUGAGAGGAUGAUCAGCCACACUGGAACUGAGACACGGUCCAGACUCCUACGGGAGGCGAGCAGUGGGGAAGUAUUGGUAC
RNAcentral lists this ribosomal RNA (362 nucleotides) under uncultured bacterium. RNAcentral's name for it is "bacterial SSU rRNA". It matches the Rfam family "Bacterial small subunit ribosomal RNA", at positions 30 to 371 of the family's 1533-position model. The record is from RNAcentral.